RNAcentral lists this transfer RNA (72 nucleotides) under Camelus bactrianus (Bactrian camel). It matches the Rfam family "tRNA". From Rfam's summary of the family: Transfer RNA (tRNA) molecules are approximately 80 nucleotides in length. Their secondary structure includes four short double-helical elements and three loops (D, anti-codon, and T loops). Further hydrogen bonds mediate the characteristic L-shaped molecular structure. tRNAs have two regions of fundamental functional importance: the anti-codon, which is responsible for specific mRNA codon recognition, and the 3' end, to which the tRNAs corresponding amino acid is attached (by aminoacyl-tRNA synthetases). tRNAs cope with the degeneracy of the genetic code in two manners: having more than one tRNA (with a specific anti-codon) for a particular amino acid; and 'wobble' base-pairing, i.e. permitting non-standard base-pairing at the 3rd anti-codon position. RNAcentral also lists the same sequence under 1 other name. Lineage: Eukaryota; Metazoa; Chordata; Mammalia; Artiodactyla; Camelidae. The record is from Rfam by way of RNAcentral.
GAGGGCAUAGCUCAGUGGCAGAGCACAUGCUUAGCAUGCACGAGAUCCUGAGUUCAAUCCCCAGGACCCCCA